This is a small nucleolar RNA of Erinaceus europaeus (western European hedgehog), 79 nucleotides long. NCBI's taxonomy places the organism in Eukaryota, Metazoa, Chordata, Mammalia, Eulipotyphla, Erinaceidae. The record is from Ensembl.
GGCCUCCGCCUCUGAUGAAGUCAUUGUUGGUAGGGACAGCUGAGACGCUGAUGAACGCCAACGGCUCUGAUGGCGGAAC